Molecule: small nuclear RNA, 107 nt
Organism: Cercocebus atys (sooty mangabey)
Lineage: Eukaryota; Metazoa; Chordata; Mammalia; Primates; Cercopithecidae
Source: Ensembl
GUGCUUGCUUCGACAGCACACAUACUAAAACCAGAACAAUACAGGGAAGAUUAGCAAGCCCCCUGUGCAAGGAUGACUUGCACAUUUAAGACUUGUUCCACAUUUCU